AACGAACGCUGGCGGCAUGCCUAACACAUGCAAGUCGAACGAGACCUUCGGGUCUAUUGGCGCACGGGUGCGUAACGCGUGGGAACCUGCCCUUAGGUUCGGAAUAACUCCCCGAAAGGGGUGCUAAUACCGGAUAAUGUCUUCGGACCAAAGAUUUAUCGCCUUUGGAUGGGGCCGCGUUGGAUUAGCUAGUUGGUAGGGUAAAAGCCUACCAAGGCGACGAUCCAUAGCUGGUCUGAGAGGAUGAUCAGCCACACUGGGACUGAGACACGGCCCAGACUCCUACGGGAAGCAGCAGUGGGGAAUAUUGGACACUGGGCGAAAGCCUGAUCCAGCAAUGCCGCGUGAGUGAUGAAGGCCUUAGGGUUGUAAAGCUCUUUUACACGGGAUGAUAAUGACAGUACCGGGAGAAUAAGCUCCGGCUAACUCCAUG
Molecule: ribosomal RNA, 433 nt
Filed under: uncultured bacterium
Lineage: Bacteria
Description: partial 16S ribosomal RNA
Rfam family: Bacterial small subunit ribosomal RNA
Source: RNAcentral